UACGUAGGGUGCGAGCGUUAAUCGGAAUUACUGGGCGUAAAGCGUACGCAGGCGGCUAUGCAAGACAGGUGUGAAAUCCCCGGGCUUAACCUGGGAACUGCAUUUGUGACUGCAUAGCUAGAGUCUGUCAGAGGGGGGUGGAAUUCCACGUGUAGCAGUGAAAUGCGUAGAGAUGUGGAGGAACACCGAUGGCGAAGGCAGCCCCUGGGACCUGACUGACGCUCAUGUACGAAAGCGUGGGGAGCAAACAGG
RNAcentral lists this ribosomal RNA (252 nucleotides) under uncultured bacterium. Its description in RNAcentral is "partial 16S ribosomal RNA". It matches the Rfam family "Bacterial small subunit ribosomal RNA", at positions 524 to 776 of the family's 1533-position model. The record is from RNAcentral.